UGCAGUGCUUUAUCUAGUUGGAUGUCAGUCACGUGAAAUUCAAGUGCAUGACACCACACUGGGUAGAGAAAGGCUCA
Molecule: microRNA precursor, 77 nt
Organism: Cricetulus griseus (Chinese hamster)
Lineage: Eukaryota; Metazoa; Chordata; Mammalia; Rodentia; Cricetidae
Source: Ensembl